UACGGAGGGUGCAAGCGUUAAUCGGAAUUACUGGGCGUAAAGCGCGCGUAGGCGGCUUGGUCAGUCGGAUGUGAAAUCCCUGGGCUCAACCUGGGAACUGCAUUCGAUACUGCCUGGCUAGAGUGUGGGAGAGGGUGGUGGAAUUCCCGGUGUAGCGGUGAAAUGCGUAGAUAUCGGGAGGAACAUCAGUGGCGAAGGCGACCGCCUGGCCCAACACUGACGCUGAGGUGCGAAAGCGUGGGUAGCAAACAGGAUUAGAAACCCUAGUAGUCC
Molecule: ribosomal RNA, 273 nt
Filed under: uncultured bacterium
Lineage: Bacteria
Description: partial 16S ribosomal RNA
Rfam family: Bacterial small subunit ribosomal RNA
Source: RNAcentral